GCGGCCUGGGAGCAGAGGCGCUGGCCCGGCCCUGCAUUUCCGCCCCGGCUCGGCCCUCCCCGACGGCCCCGGGUGCCGGCAGGACUGAAAACUGGAUAUUUGGUCCCCAUGGACUUUCUGGUCACCUUGUGAGGUGGACUUACUUUUUCUUGAGUCAUGUGGAAGACUCUGAAGUCAGAAGUUUUUAAGACUCUCAGGCUUACUGUGGAUCUGGAUUCUAAGGCAACACUUCCUUGAAGAAACAAGCUUACAGCUCUGCCCGGAUGGCCCUCGUCUUCGUGUACGGCACCCUGAAGCGGGGUCAGCCCAACCACAGGGUCCUGCGGGACGGCGCCCACGGCUCCGCAGCCUUUCGGGCGCGCGGCCGCACGCUGGAACCCUACCCGCUGGUGAUCGCGGGGGAGCACAACAUCCCGUGGCUGCUGCACCUGCCCGGCUCGGGGCGCCGCGUGGAGGGCGAGGUCUACGCGGUAGACGAGCGGAUGCUGCGCUUUCUGGACGACUUCGAGAGUUGCCCGGCCCUGUACCAGCGCACGGCGCUGCGGGUACAGCUGCUGGAGGACCGGGCCCCGGACGCAGAGGAGCCGCCGGCGCCCUCCGCGGUGCAGUGCUUCGUGUACAGCAGGGCCACCUUCCCGCCCGAGUGGGCCCAGCUUCCGCACUAUGACAGCUACGACUCCGAGGGGCCGCACGGGCUGCGCUACAACCCCCGGGAAAACAGAUAAGGGGGACGGGCAGGGUGGGCCUAGGUUUGAGAGCCUUGGGGCUCCAAGAUGCGCCCAGCCCAUGCUGGGUGAAGGCGGAAGCAGAACAGGGCCCUUUCCAACUAAUCUGCGGGAAAAGGAACCAAUCUUUCAGUGGCAGCUGAUUUUACAAAUAAUGUUGAGAUACGAAUAGCAAGGUGCUUCCCUCCCAUCUUUCUACCUGACAUUUGUUCCAGGAAUCAUGCAAAAAGUUCCUCAUCGGAGUCUUAUUCCCUGGCAUGACUUCAUGGAUGCUUUGUGCACAGCAUACUAGAGAGUAAGCAACGCUUUUAAGGAAAGUACUUCCCAAAACACUGCAUUUGCAAAAUGAUGGAAUGAAUCUGGCCUUCUUUCUGCUCCACUCCCAGAUCAUUUGGGAGAAGUGCUGAGGGUCUUGGCACCAACCUAAUGCAAACGUGAAACAGGUCAACAACACACGAAAUCGAUUUUGCUGUUUGGUGGGGGUCAGUUAAGAAAGAACUGCAAAGAGCCGAAUCGUGCUGUGCCAUUAGCCAUCAUUUUGGAAGGAGAAGUCUGAGACCAGCAUGUCCUGCAGAGACACACACAGCCCUUACCGCGUCUCCAGGCUUGACAGAGACGGCCACCACCACGCCGGGCAUCGGGGAACGCAGAACACUGCUUGUGUCCUCAGUCGCUUUUUCCAGCAUAAAUUUGUUCAAUUCUGCGGCAAGUUUGGUUAAGAUAUUCACCUUGUACUUAAGGGAAAAACAAAACAAAACCAUAAAUGAGUUUAAAUGAACUUUUCCUCAAAAGUAGCAUUCAUUCUAAAUCAGUUUUUAGCUUUUAAAUUCAAAUUACAGUAACAGCCUUAAAUUCAAAUGGUUCUCAAUUGCUGCACACAUCAAAAUAUAUUUGUUUCUGUCAUAUAUUGAGCUAUUUCAGAAAUUUCUUGAAAUAAGGGCUAUUCCAGUUAUUAAAAUUAAUCAUUGAUAAAUAUCAUCCUAUAUCUUUAAGAAAAACAUCUCAAAACGUUAUAAAGAAAACUGAGAAUUUUACUUGUAUUCCCUUCACCACCUACAAACUUACCCCUAUCAAGGAAAAUCCCGUGAGCUGGGCAGGCCCAGGGGAUGGAGGAGGUGACAUGUGGACAGGCGCCAGUAGAUGGCAGCAGAUGGCUGUCGCAGCUUCCCACAGCCCUCCAAGAGCGGCUGUACUACGUAUCAGUAAGUUAAGACAAUGGGGUUCAGUGUUCAUUUUGGGCAAAAUACUAUUUAAAAUUCCAUAUUUUCAGUGACAGAAAAUGUUAUAUUCAUGACUGAAAAAGUUGGCUUUUCUUAAAGGCACUACAUAGUCUUUCUGAUGUAACAAGAUGGUUAGGAAAAGAUGCACGAUAAUGAGAAUGCCUUCUGCACUGAGAGACAAUAACAUCAAGAUGUUAUAAACACGGAUGGAAAAUACGCACAGACAAGUAUAUUCAUGGCACCUUCUGUAGGUGGCUCUCAAACAAUCGGGCAUAUUCAGGGCAGUUCAGUGAAGCAGAACAUUUCAAAAAAGAGAAUUCCUAUCCUCUCCGUGAAUAAAUCUAUGAGCCACAAUUUGGUCUAUCCAAACAGAAAAAAGAUAAAAUGGUUUGAGAAAGUGUCUCUCGGUGAAAUUGGAACCACCACCCAAAGGUUCUGGAUCCCUACCAGGUCUGAUUUCUCUUGGGUAAGAAAGCAGCAGCAGUGAGACAGCUCCAUUUUGUUCAAAAAAACCCUGCUGUAACUCAAAGCCUCCUGUGGGCAUCAUGAUGGCAGGGAUGCAAAAACAAAAUAUAAUUCCCCCUUUAAUUCUGCAUGGGGACGGCAGGAAUCUCUAAGUGCCUCUUCACAGGGCCUACUGAAAAGGGUGGGGGGAGAGCUUUGAUGGCCUAAGUUCCAAGUGGAUUUGCGACACUGUGACAGGUUGAAUAAUAACAUCUUUUGCAUGUUUCUUUACUCCUGAGCGUGUGUUUUGCAAUCAAGACAUAGAAGCGUCUGCCAGUUUCUGAAGGAUAUGAUCCUUAAGUGAAAUUACAGUGCAAAUAAAAGCUUUUUGCUCCUAUUAAAAUUCAUCUGAGUCAUAAGUGGUGAGGGAAAAAGCGAGGAGAGUGCGCGCUGCUGUCAGUCUAAUAAACAUUCUGGGCAGGGGGACUAUUUAUCAGUGAUGAAUUGUACCUCCAAGUCCUUCAUUAAAUCAAUGGGGGAGGGUGUGGAGGGACAGAGAGGACUAUAAUUGGACCAAAUUGCACAGUUUUCAUAUCUGUGCUGUCUGCCAUGGGGGAAAAAUCCAACAUCACUAGAGGCAUCAGAGUCAAAAAAAAAGUUACUUUUCUAGUUGGUAUCGCCCUGAGCUGCGCCUUCUGUGUGACUGACUUACGAUGUGCCUUGUUCAGUUUUCAGUGUAGCACACAGAUCUAUUUUUUUCUUGUUUUGCAGAAUUCGACUUCAAAAUGUGAAGCCUAAAUUCAGGAAAAGUAUCUUCAUACGUUGAGAAUAUGAUUUACCACAUUUCACCACAGUGGAUAUACUCCAAAACUAAGUUUAGUUAUAUCACAGAUCAGCCUGCAUAUGAACAAAGUGCUAAGAACAAAGCUUCAUUUCUCCCCAGAAAUUACAAGAUUCUGACGAACACUGGAUCCUUUUACUAUUUUUAUAAUUUUCAUCUUUCAGAUUCCUGUCUCUGUAGGACUCCUGCUUUGCUUGGAAAGAGAUGUAAAAGAGUCACAAACUCAAUGCCUUUAGAUGCAGUCUUUGUUACUGAUGAGAUGUUCCUUUUCCUUUUGUAUUUGUUUAUUGUUCUUAAAUCUGUUUGGGGGAUAAGUGACUUAUUGUAAUAGCAAGUAAAAAAUAACAACAGGGUAAACUCCUCCAGAGAGGCCUUGGUGCAAAUAGUUGGUUUAGAAAUGACCUUUCUGAAUAUAAAAAGAGAAGGCAGAGAGAGAUUCUCUUUUUAAGAUUACCUUUGAUGUUGUCCUGACCCCGUGAGUGUACCACACAAACACGCCUUCUUAAAACAACCUCUCAGCUGGCCUGUGCUGUGCUGCACAGGGCGCGUGCCGGGAUGGGGCCCAAGCGGGGUGCAGCAUAUGGGCCCAUCAGAAUGAACUGCCUGGUGAGAACCGUAAAAGCUUUUUGAUGCCCCAGAAAAGAAGUCAUUUAAGAAUGUACACCAGGGCUUUCCAAGCUUCUGAUCAAAACUGCUAUUUACUGGCAUCUCUGGAUUCUUUGGGGGCACAGCCAGCCAAUGCUUUGUGAGACUUCAGGAAUGUGCCCCUACCUGGACCGUGGGGUACAAGCUCAGUUUCACCGUGGGCAUUUAACUAUUCCUCAUGGGUUGUGCGAAACUCCCUUAGAGUUUUGAUUUUAAGUUUUUGUGGUUGUUUUUAAGAAGAUAAAUCACAAGGUUGAUGUUUGAGGGUAGGAAUCCAAGACUCUGAAGGCUUGUGGACAGGACAGAGUAGCAGGAUCCCAGAAGCAGCCAGGUUUUCCCGCUGCCUGGGUAGGAUGAGGGAACAUGCCAGCAUGGGUGACAGGCAGCUGCCUGUGGGUGGGGCUGGGCUGCCAGGGAGCCAGAAGAUGAUUCGCUCCAGUGAGCUCGGGGCUGGUCAGUGUGUGGAACUUCACUCCGCUGGCUUAGGAAGGUGUUCUCCAGACCACAUAGCCAAAUGAAAAAAAAAUGUUCUCGAAAAACAGCUCACCACGUAAGUGAGAACAGAACAGUUGCUCUCUGGGCUUGACCUGGUGGGACUCCUCAACCCACACACGAGAGUAAUGGGAGGGAAUGAGGUGUUAUCUAAUGACCCAAUGACAGAGAAGCGGCCCCAGCCCGGAUCUCUAAGCAAAUUAAUUUUAUGGCCUCUGCAGUGUGAAACCAUGUCUAACAAGAAAAUUUCUCCCAAAAGUUUAAAAGAAAGAAAGAAAAGGAAUCGCAGCUGACAUGAAAGGGUCAGGAGGAAAGCCACAAGAGCUGGACAAUGACAAGAAACGCCAGUGGGAUUGUUUUUAAAACUGACACGCAGCUCUUCCAUGGACCUGAUUAAAGGCUGGGGGCUGAGAGUGGUUGCUGCAGCAGGAGGAGGAGGCUAGUCACAGUCUGGGUGAGAGAGGGAUGUUAUCACUGGACCUCAUUAAGAAAAGCAUCCUGCAACUGGGCAUGUGUGCCUGCACCCCAGCACCCCAGAACUCAGCACCCCAAAGACAGCAAAGAAUCACCCACUUUGAGACACACUCCACUUUGACGGAUACACAGAAUACCACCCUGGAGGCUUCUGUAUUUGUACAGUACAUGCACCUCCUUACAGCGUUAAAUCCACCCACCUGUUUCCACAGCCUGUAGAAGUACCAGUAAUUUAAUUCUGCAGACCCCAUGUGCUAAAUGUUGCAAUGAUCCGAGGUCUGUGACUGCUCCCGAGGUGAGCACUUGCAGUUUGCUGUACAGUUUUCAGCUGUGAUUUCAGAGCCUCCAGUGCCACUGUCAACCUCCAUUCCUCUUCAAGUGGGCUCACUUCCAGUUUCCAUUUAUGAGUCAUUCUUCCAGUAACAAUUAGGACACGUACAGUUGACUGACUGUUAAUGUUCUUUCAUGUCCUCAACUGUUGGCCAUCUCAGUCAAUACCAACUCAAGGGCAGGUGCUAUCUUUGACUGUAAAUCACUGUGCAUCAGAAAUCUUGAAGCACUGGCCAAAUACUGUCCAUGCACCCCUCACUAAGUAAGGGGACAGACACUUCUUCAAAGAUUAGGCUCUCUUCCUAGUCAAGGUUUUACACCUUCUGGCCCCAAAGGUCUUCAACAUUAAGCUCUGUCUUCAUUUCCGCAGCGUGGCAGUGAGAGCAACACUCAAAUAUUCCCCUAAAGGUCUACUGUCCUAACUCAGAGCUGGGGAAAUAGUGUCAGUGUUUUUAAAGUGAUGGAAAGGGCGAAAUGCAAAAAUGAUGCAUCUUUAAAAACACUGGCUGUCGGAAAAGCAGAGAAAAACUAGAUAUAAAUUGAAACAGUUCAGUGGAAUGAGACUUAUAAUUCAACCACAUUCUAUUCUCCUAAAUUCUUUGUAGGGUACACAAUUAUCACUUGAGGAAAAACAUAGCAAGGUUCGGAGCCAUACAAAAUAAUUUCCCUCUAGUUCUGCACAGGGCCCAAUCGCCUGAUAUCUGAGCUACACCACCACCACAAAUCUCCAAGACACAACAGUGACAAUACACAGAAUUGAAGCCUACGGCUGUCCUUCCUUUGGAGGUGCAGCCCAGGCAAAGGAGCGGACGUGAACAGGCAGCAGCUAAGGCGCAGGGCAAACCACAGCCUCCUACAGCUGCAGUCACUGGAGCAGCCUGUUAGCAUAAUGCUGUGACAACUCCAUCAGUGCAGUCUCAAGGUAGCUGUCAAUCAGGAUGCAUCAUUUAAUCCAACAGCACUCGGAGGACUUUCUCCUACAACCCACAUGACAGCAUAUCUACAGCUCUAUUUAUAUCAGCGCCCAGUUGUGUUUACAGUGUUGUUGUAAUUAGAAAAGAUGCAACAGGCAGCAAUAUUAUUGAGAUUUCCAUUUUGUAGUAUUGCCCUGUAAAGUGUGAUCUUGCUUCACAGAGUCAUGCUAAAUGACAAAAGGCUAUUUUCUUCAAUCUCCCAGCUCAGACAGCACUUCAUUUGCAGCUAUCUAUAAUUAGAUUAAUGGUGUAGUGCGGUACAAAGCAGGCCCACUUCACAUCAGAUAGCAUAUGAAUUAGGACAAACACUUAUUUCAAUUCCAGGCAGAGAAAGCAAUGACUGGGGUAUUUAGCAUACCCUUUAUGGUGGAAUGAGAUGUUAAUUGUGUACCAUUACCUCUAAACUGCUUGCUUGUUGUAUAAAUCACUGUGCUAAUUGAUGCAGAGAUAGAAAUGUAGCCACAGGCGAGAAAGCAAAGGAAUGAGAGCUGAAGAUGGUGGAUAAAGGAUUAUCGAGUAAAACCAUAUGGAGAUGAGGUUCCUUUGAAACCUUUGCUUUCUGCCCAUGAGCAGGAUUUCAUCAUAUACAGCAAAACUCUGGUACAAGAAAAAUUAAUUUUACAUUCCUUUUUAAAAACACAAAUUCCUUGUAGAAGUUCUGGCUGCCAGAAAUCCAAAUAAUAGGUAUGUGGAAUUCAUCUUAAUAUACAUUUAUAAAAACAUGGAAUGUAUAGUUUUCAAUAGUCAGAGCUCCUCAUCUGGGUUUUUGGCUCAUGGGUUAAUAAGUAACACUUGUAAACUAUACCUGAAGCAGAUGUUUCUGACCCAUCCACAGGGCAAAAACAAAUUCUUUCCCAAGGCUUGAAGUUGUUCUUUUAGACAAAAAAAAAAAAAACCCACAAAACAAAAAACCCACACCACCACUAUGCUGGCUUAGUCUGUUAUAGACUCUAAUUGUGUAGAAACAUUUAUUCAGGAUGUGAAUCCAACAGAACAGAAUCAUUUUUAUCUACCAUUAAAACAACGAUUUUAACACCAUCACCAAACACUGAAAUCUGACUAUUCCAACUUGAGGUAUUCUUCCUUGUUUUUCUAAAACUAGCAAAAAAAUAAACAGAAGCAAGUAGUAAUUUAAAAGCUUCCGUUUUAAAAUCUCUGAAUGUUACUCUUCCCUUUUAAAAUGUCUUGUUCUGCACUCAACAACUCUUAAUAGGGUAAAAACGAGUGUCUCAAAAGCGCACAUAUAGAAAUCAAAUGUUUCAUCCCACAAGUCAAACCGUCCGUGAUCCACAGAUAAACGUGCCCCUGGGAAGUUCAUAAAUCAAGUGCAUGUGUCCUGAGUACAUGCUCACGUUUUUUUACUAGCAAGGCAACACUGAGGUGCAGAUUAGUGCUGUGGACCUUCUCACAAAUUCAGCUGCUUAGUAAUUAGCACUGUUACAACAUUUUAUGCAGAGAACAAACUCAUAGGGUCAGUUAGCAGCUCCAGUUCUCAGCCUCACGGUAACAGUUAACAUAUCCAUCUACUGGCAAGUGUACAUUUGAGAAACACUGUUAUCAUUCAGCAUUGUGAAAUAUGAACACCACACUAACUUGCAAGAAAAUAAAACAAUGUUUCAAGAAACUAGAAAGUCUAGUUCAAGUUACCAGGACUGAAACUUGGGAGGGGAAAGUCCAGAGCUGCUUUUUUGGGGGCCACAGCUGUCACCUUUCACUGUACAGAGUGGCUCUUAUUAUACAUCUGACUGCUGAACUAAGGACACCUGGAUCGCAACUGCAAGCGUUUAUGGUUUAGGUUAUUAUGCUAAAUAAUAUUAAAAACAAACAAAAUCCACAAAGAAACAUCAAGGACUCUCAGGAUGGAAACCAACGUCAGCACAAUAAAUAGCGUGAACUACUCUGCAACAACCCCCACCCCCCAAGCAUCAAGGCAACAUAAAUAGAAAGGAGAGAAGAUGUGGAAACAGUGUAAAGCCCUGAGUCCUGGUCAUUAAUCACUUGUUUAGACCAUUUAAACUAGAGCCUUACAGCCUGCAGCCAAAACCAACAUGCCUCAGUGAAGCUGGUGUUAACAGAAGAAAAUAUAUGGUUUCUGAUAUUACGUCCCAGUUCCUCAACAUUUGCUCCAACUGAAAAAGGCAGUUAAACACAAAGUAAAUCAUCCAGUUAGCCUGGCUGUUUAGUGACACACAAUUGAUAAUGUCAAUACAUUGCAGCGACAUAAUGCGUCACUUUCAACACUCAUCUGCUGCUAUUUAUGAAUCAAUCUGUACUCAAGGUUUUAUUGUGUUACUGGUAGGUGGUUUUUGGAGUUAAGUCUUUUACCGGACCAAUGAAUGUGCCACAAGAAGGCUAACGGCAGUGAACAGCAAUCUCAUUUUUCGAGGGAAAAAUUAACACAAAUAGGAGUGGGAAGAAAAUCCCAACAAAACUGAAGAAUAAAAAUAUCUGACGCCCAUUCAGCAACUCAUUUUUCGAACAUCCUGCAAAACUGGGGAGAGUUUCCUUAGAGAAAACCAUCUUAAGGCUAAUCAUCAACAGCAUUGAAGGAAUGGGUAAGUCUGUGUGUAUCUCGGGCUUGCUUCUGAAAGACGAUCUCCCCUGGAGGGAAGAAUAUGGGGUUGUCAAUAAUACAAAAAUCUAGCCUCA
Molecule: RNA transcript, 8794 nt
Organism: Pongo pygmaeus (Bornean orangutan)
Lineage: Eukaryota; Metazoa; Chordata; Mammalia; Primates; Hominidae
Gene: GGACT
Gene name: gamma-glutamylamine cyclotransferase
Exons: 4
Source: RefSeq, a predicted model, not a curated record